AAAAGCCUCAACUUCAGGCAUUAGGCCGCCUGAGGAAAUGUUGAACCCUGGCUUAUCAAGUUUCCUGUUCAAGAAUGGGCCAACUUGUGAAGAAGAAGAAGCUCCUCCUAUACACAUGGCUACGAGUGCCAGGAAGCUCGGCGAGCCGAUUCGAGCCGCCAUUCCCUUACAUCCUCCCUACCACCCUCCUGAGCCGAGAGCGCCUUGUCCCAUAGGCAAGGAAUACCUCUGCUCAGGUCACUACUUGUCUACGCCAGCUUCUGGAGAGCACAGGGCACCUUCUGUGGUAAGCGGAAAGGUUUGCUUGUAAUUGGCUAAGAGCCCAUAUGUUAGUGAUUUUCACUGCUGGCGAUUAAACCUAGAGCCUU
This 368-nucleotide long non-coding RNA is filed under the name Rattus norvegicus (Norway rat). RNAcentral describes it as "long non-coding RNA NONRATT004995". The record is from RNAcentral. Lineage: Eukaryota; Metazoa; Chordata; Mammalia; Rodentia; Muridae.